AAGGCUUGACCUCAAAUCAGGUAGGACUACCCGCUGAACUUAAGCAUAUCAAUAAGCCGGAGGAAA
Molecule: ribosomal RNA, 66 nt
Filed under: Pisolithus tinctorius
Lineage: Eukaryota; Fungi; Basidiomycota; Agaricomycetes; Boletales; Pisolithaceae
Description: partial 28S ribosomal RNA
Rfam family: Eukaryotic large subunit ribosomal RNA
Source: RNAcentral